UACGUAGGGUGCGAGCGUUGUCCGGAAUUAUUGGGCGUAAAGAGCUCGUAGGCGGUGUGUCGCGUCGGCCGUGAAAACCUGCAGCUUAACUGUGGGCUUGCGGUCGAUACGGGCAGGCUGGAGUUCGGUAGGGGAGACUGGAAUUCCUGGUGUAGCGGUGAAAUGCGCAGAUAUCAGGAGGAACACCGGUGGCGAAGGCGGGUCUCUGGGCCGAUACUGACGCUGAGGAGCGAAAGCGUGGGGAGCGAACAGG
Molecule: ribosomal RNA, 253 nt
Filed under: uncultured bacterium
Lineage: Bacteria
Description: partial 16S ribosomal RNA
Rfam family: Bacterial small subunit ribosomal RNA
Source: RNAcentral